UACGAAGGGGGCUAGCGUUGUUCGGAUUUACUGGGCGUAAAGCGCACGUAGGCGGGUUGUUAAGUCAGGGGUGAAAUCCUGGAGCUCAACUCCAGAACUGCCUUUGAUACUGGCAACCUAGAGGCUGGAAGAGGUUAGUGGAAUUCCCAGUGUAGAGGUGAAAUUCGUAGAUAUUCGGAAGAACACCAGUGGCGAAGGCGACUCACUGGCCCGAUACUGACGCUGAGGCGCGAAAGCGUGGGGAGCAAACAGG
RNAcentral lists this ribosomal RNA (253 nucleotides) under uncultured bacterium. RNAcentral describes it as "partial 16S ribosomal RNA". It matches the Rfam family "Bacterial small subunit ribosomal RNA", at positions 524 to 776 of the family's 1533-position model. The record is from RNAcentral.